Molecule: ribosomal RNA, 505 nt
Filed under: uncultured bacterium
Lineage: Bacteria
Description: partial 16S ribosomal RNA
Rfam family: Bacterial small subunit ribosomal RNA
Source: RNAcentral
GACGAACGCUGGCGGCGUGCCUAAUACAUGCAAGUAGAACGCACAGUUUAUACCGUAGCUUGAUACACCAUAGACUGUGAGUUGCGAACGGGUGAGUAACGCGUAGGUAACCUGCCUGGUAGCGGGGGAUAACUAUUGGACACGAUAGCUAAUACCGCAUAAUAUUAAUUAUUGCAUGAUAAUUAAUUGAAAGGUGCAAUUGCACCACUACCAGAUGGACCUGCGUUGUAUUAGCUAGUAGGUGAGGUAACGGCUCACCUAGGCGACGAUACAUAGCCGAACUGAGAGAGUGGUGGGCCACACUGGGACAGAAACACGACCCAGACUACUACGGGAGGCAGCAGUAGGGAAUCUUCGGCAAAGGACGAAAGGAGGAACGAGAAACGCCGCGUGAGUGAAGAAGGGUUUCGGAGCGUAAAGAUCAGUUGUAAGAGAAGAACGGGUGGGAGAAUGGAAAGUUCACACUGAGACGGUAUCUUACCAGAAAGGAACGGCUAAAUACGUA